Engraulis encrasicolus (European anchovy) is the source of this 256-nucleotide long non-coding RNA. RefSeq lists it as uncharacterized. Lineage: Eukaryota; Metazoa; Chordata; Actinopteri; Clupeiformes; Engraulidae. The transcript has 3 exons. The record is from RefSeq and is a predicted model, not a curated record.
CUGCUGACAGCUCGAUCAAGCGCGCAGUGAACAUGAUGAAGAAGAUGAACUUUGUGUCAACUCAGCGCGGCUCCUCAGUGUCCCCUCCCCCACCCCAGUGCUGAAGAUCAAGUGCCAUGUUUCUGCAUCGGUGGGAUGAAGUCAUGAGGCCAUCCAGAUGUGGAGGGUGAUGACUAAGAAUGAAACCAAAAGUGGAGUGAAAUGAGGCAACCAGCGCACGCAAGGAAAGGCAAUGCCACAGGCAAGGCCAGGCAAG